RNAcentral lists this small RNA (879 nucleotides) under Pan troglodytes (chimpanzee). Its description in RNAcentral is "processed transcript". Lineage: Eukaryota; Metazoa; Chordata; Mammalia; Primates; Hominidae. The record is from RNAcentral.
CACCGAUUUGAAGAUUCAAUAUACUAAGAUCUUCAUAAACAAUGAAUGGCAUGAUUCAGUGAGUGGCAAGAAAUUUCCUGUCUUUAAUCCUGCAACUGAGGAGGAGCUCUGCCAGGUAGAAGAAGGAGAUAAGGAGGAUGUUGACAAGGCAGUGAAGGCCGCAAGACAGGCUUUUCAGAUUGGAUCUCCGUGGCGUACUAUGGAUGCUUCCGAGAGGGGACGACUAUUAUACAAGUUGGCUGAUUUAAUCGAAAGAGAUCGUCUGCUGCUGGCGACAAUGGAGUCAAUGAAUGGUGGAAAACUCUAUUCCAACGCAUAUCUGAAUGAUUUAGCAGGCUGCAUCAAAACAUUGCGCUACUGUGCAGGUUGGGCUGACAAGAUCCAGGGCCGUACAAUACCAAUUGAUGGAAAUUUUUUUACAUAUACAAGACAUGAACCUAUUGGUGUAUGUGGCCAAAUCAUUCCUUGGAAUUUCCCGUUGGUUAUGCUCAUUUGGAAGAUAGGGCCUGCACUGAGCUGUGGAAACACAGUGGUUGUCAAACCAGCAGAGCAAACUCCUCUCACUGCUCUCCACGUGGCAUCUUUAAUAAAAGAGGCAGGGUUUCCUCCUGGAGUAGUGAAUAUUGUUCCUGGUUACGGGCCUACAGCAGGGGCAGCCAUUUCUUCUCACAUGGAUAUAGACAAAGUAGCCUUCACAGGAUCAACAGAGGUAAUAUUAUUUACUCAGGGCAAAAGUUAAGAAUGUCUGCAUUGCCAGCUAUGAAGUAUGUUUUAUGUAACUAUUUUUGAGCCAACAAUUUUAAAACAAAAACUCUUUUUAAUGAUUUGUUAUUUAUUUUAGCCUUCAAACAUAUGGAUAGAAUAUAAGCAGAUGUAGUU